This 83-nucleotide transfer RNA is filed under the name Desulfovibrio sp. OttesenSCG-928-A18. RNAcentral describes it as "tRNA-Leu". It matches the Rfam family "tRNA". From Rfam's summary of the family: Transfer RNA (tRNA) molecules are approximately 80 nucleotides in length. Their secondary structure includes four short double-helical elements and three loops (D, anti-codon, and T loops). Further hydrogen bonds mediate the characteristic L-shaped molecular structure. tRNAs have two regions of fundamental functional importance: the anti-codon, which is responsible for specific mRNA codon recognition, and the 3' end, to which the tRNAs corresponding amino acid is attached (by aminoacyl-tRNA synthetases). tRNAs cope with the degeneracy of the genetic code in two manners: having more than one tRNA (with a specific anti-codon) for a particular amino acid; and 'wobble' base-pairing, i.e. permitting non-standard base-pairing at the 3rd anti-codon position. The record is from RNAcentral. Lineage: Bacteria; Pseudomonadati; Thermodesulfobacteriota; Desulfovibrionia; Desulfovibrionales; Desulfovibrionaceae.
GCGAGAGUGGCGGAAUUGGUAGACGCACUGGAUUUAGGAUCCAGCGCUCCGGCGUGGGGGUUCAAAUCCCCCCUCUCGCACCA